This is a long non-coding RNA of Gallus gallus (chicken), 984 nucleotides long. RefSeq lists it as uncharacterized. NCBI's taxonomy places the organism in Eukaryota, Metazoa, Chordata, Aves, Galliformes, Phasianidae. The transcript has 3 exons. The record is from RefSeq and is a predicted model, not a curated record.
AGGUUCAGAAGAUCCUUUGAAGCAUGAAGAUUAAUAGACCUUUUGAAUAUGUUAUUUUGUAAGAAGCAUUAGGUGAAAAUGUAAGCUAUGUUUUCAAUCAAGGAAGAAAAAAACCCACAGUACCAAUUCUGUUUUUACUCAGAAAAGAGGAUAGAAAUGGAUUCAAUUAUCUAGUUUACAAAACUGACUAAAUUGAGGCACAGGCUCUGUUAGACUGACCAUAUCAUCCAGUUCUUGGAAUUCAUCAAGUGUAUUCUUGCAUCUGUCCAAUACAUUUUGACAGAGUACUGGAACAGCUGCCCAGGGGGGUUGUGGAUUCUCCUCUGGAGAUAGUGAAGACCUGCUUGGACACCUACCUGUGCAGCCUGCUGUAGGGGGCUUGCUUUGCAGGGGGGCUGGACUUGAUGAUCUCUGCAGGUCCAUUCCAGCCCCUACAAUUCUGUGAUUUGGUACUAAGAUAACCCCAGUGAACUGCUUACAAAUUAUCAUGUAGAAUACAGCAAUUUUGGCAAAAAAAUGAGAUGAAAUUAACAAAAUCAAAUAUGGCAAUUUUAAGUUGUUCUCUUACCCAGUGCUGGAGAUGUUUUUAUGAGACCAGAUAAUAAUAUUAUUCCACACUAUGAAAUCUAUUUAAAAUUCAUACAGUGGAUAUCUAUGUCUUGUGAUUCUUAUAUGUUUUGAUGAAUUACUGAUUAUUCUUUACAUAUCAUUUAGAGGCUAGUCUGCUCAUUAUUUUAUUUCUUUUUCUGAGCUUGAAAGUGUUACAUUUUAAUAAUAUUUGCAGUGUAAAUGACUACAAUAAGGAGAAAAUGACAAGACUGGAUGAACUUUGUCAUUGGAGUUAGUGGUUUCAGGUCUCAGACCGUUAGAAAUCUGGGAGAAUAAAAAUGGCGCACUUUGAUAUAAUUCAUCCACUUAAAAGUUUAAUGUCAAAAUACAUAUGAAAUAAAUAAAUUUCAGAAAUAAAGGUUUAGUAAAAUAAAA